GCAUUUGACGUCGGGGAUGAAAUCCGACUCCCGUAGGAGUCCGGAUGGAGUCUACCUACAGUUGAAGUCGAGGAUGAAGUCCGGCUCCCGUAGGAGUUCGGAUGGAGUCUGCCUGCAAUUGAAGUCGAGGAUGAAGUUCGGCUCCCGUAGGAGUCCGAAUGGAGUCUGCCUGCAGUUGAAGUCGGGGAUGAAGUCCGGCUCCCGUAGGAGUCUGGAUGGA
This 220-nucleotide long non-coding RNA is filed under the name Elaeis guineensis (African oil palm). RNAcentral describes it as "long non-coding RNA (EGUI_LNC056136)". The record is from RNAcentral. Lineage: Eukaryota; Viridiplantae; Streptophyta; Magnoliopsida; Arecales; Arecaceae.